CCGUAGCUCAGUUGGUAGAGCACCUGACUCUUAAUCAGGGUGUCCAGGGUUCGAGCCCCUGCG
Molecule: transfer RNA, 63 nt
Filed under: uncultured Prevotella sp.
Lineage: Bacteria; Pseudomonadati; Bacteroidota; Bacteroidia; Bacteroidales; Prevotellaceae
Also listed under: 1 other name
Rfam family: tRNA
About the family: Transfer RNA (tRNA) molecules are approximately 80 nucleotides in length. Their secondary structure includes four short double-helical elements and three loops (D, anti-codon, and T loops). Further hydrogen bonds mediate the characteristic L-shaped molecular structure. tRNAs have two regions of fundamental functional importance: the anti-codon, which is responsible for specific mRNA codon recognition, and the 3' end, to which the tRNAs corresponding amino acid is attached (by aminoacyl-tRNA synthetases). tRNAs cope with the degeneracy of the genetic code in two manners: having more than one tRNA (with a specific anti-codon) for a particular amino acid; and 'wobble' base-pairing, i.e. permitting non-standard base-pairing at the 3rd anti-codon position.
Source: RNAcentral